GUUUGUAAACACUGUGGUUGUUGAAACCUUUUCGUCUAUUAAAGUGUUUAUCUAGCUUGGCCUUUUUUAGAUUGCAAUAAAAUGCCAAAUAUUAACUUUAAAGUAAGAUAUAUGUAAUAAUUUGUUGCUGUUAAAUACUUUCAGAUCCGAACAAUAUGAGUGGAGCUGUGUAUGGUGGAGAUGAAGUCGGAGCUUUAGUCUUAGAUAUUGGCCAGAAUACAAUUAGAGCAGGUUACGGUGGUGAAGACAGCCCUAAGUUAGAUAUACCAUCUGCAGUUGGUACAUGGACUGAAUCAAAUAAUGAUACAGAUGAUGUACAUUACAAAUAUAAUAUUGGUUUAACAGCAAUACAUGUUAAAAAACCAGAUAUGGAACUGGUUACUCUUUUAAAAGAUGGAAUGAUAGAAAAUUGGGAUAUUUUUGAGAAUGUACUUGAUUAUAUCUAUAAGCAAGGUUUAGGUGCAAUUCCAAGGGAUCACCCUAUGUUAAUCACAGAACCACCAUGGAUAACUAUUCCUAAAAGGGAACAAUUAGUUGAAAUGAUGUUUGAAAAAUAUAAAGUUCCUGCAUUAUACUUGGGUAAAAAUGCUGCUUUAGCUGCUUUUGCAAAUGGUCGUCCAACCUGUUUAGUUGUUGAUAGUGGUGCUACUCAUACUUCUGCUGUUCCUGUACAUGAUGGAUUUGUGUUAACACAAGCAGUUGUUAAGUCACCUGUAGGGGGUGACUAUAUAAGUCAACAGUGCAGAAAUUAUCUGGAAGAGAAAGGAAUUGAAAUAAUUCCUCCUUACAUGGUUGCAAGUAAAGAAAUCACAAAACCAGAUGAAGCCCCUAAUUGGCAAAAACGCUCCUCAUUACCUAAAGUUACUAAAUCAUGGCAUAAUUAUAUGAUUAAAGAAGUUAUGCAAGACUUCCAAGCUUCAGUUCUUCAAGUGUCUGAUAAUGUGUAUGAUGAAGAAGUUGUUAAAAGUAUGCCAGCAAUACACUAUGAAUUUCCAAAUGGUUUUCAUAAGGAUUUUGGCGUGGAGCGUUUUAAAAUUCCAGAACCACUUUUUAAUCCAACUGCAGGGGCCAAAGCUGGAAUUCAGCCCAUUCUUGGGGUAGGCCCAUUAGUUACAACGAGUGUUGGAAUGUGUGACAUGGAUAUUAGACCUGCCAUGUAUGGUAAUGUUGUGGUUACUGGAGGCAAUUCAAAUCUGCAAGGUUUUACGGAACGGCUUAAUCGAGAUUUGGCUGCUAAGACUCCACCUAUAUUUAUGGAGACGUUUACUUAAGUGGACAUCAGCCUGAAUCCUUCCGUGUUGAAGCAAUGCUUGAUUAGCAGUACCUGUGCUUUCGUGGUGGUUAUAUGUAUGGGUAAAGUAAAAAAUUAUGCAGAAAGGAAAUACCAUUUUUCAUAAAAAUCGUAUUCGAAUAAUUUAGAAAAGCUGCCUUGUUUGAUUGCAAAUUUUAAAAUGCCUACUUUUAUAAGAUACACUACUAUAAGUGUAUAGUAUUUGGAACUUAAAAAAUGUUCAAUUUAUAUCCAAAAUGAUAUCUGAAAAAAACAGUCUUAUUAAUUUAUUUCAAUAUUUUGUUUUAUAAUAAUUCACACAUUGAGAUGAACUUUGUUACUAAAAAAACAAACAUCAAGUACCUUUUUUACAUUUUAAUUAGCCGCAAUACAGCUUCUAAAGCCAUUGCAUUCAAAAUUCGAUAGCACAUUAUAUUAUCAUUUAAAACUGCUAAUAUAAUCUAUUUACUAACUUAAUUUCCUUACAUCUAUCUGUUUUGGGUAACAACCAUCCCAUCACAAAAUUACUUAAAUAGAAAAUACACUUUCAAAGUAGAGUACCUACCUAAUUAUAGUUUAAUUAUUUCAUUGCACAUCUUAGAUUGAAAGCGUAUUUGUUAUUUGAUUAAUUUUGUCACUCUAUCAGAAAUUGGGUCCAGCUGAUUUCUAAGAAGCUAAAGAAGGAUUUGUGUCUGUAACAGUAAGAAAUCAACUCCCCAUCAACUUUCGAAAUUCAGGAAUUUACCUUCACAUUAAAAGAAGUGGAUCCAGAUCCUGCCAGUUUGCCACCGUCGUAUUUAUGGAGCUAAUUUGAAGGAAAGUAGAUGUACCUUUACAACAAGGAGAAAUCACCUAAAUCUUCGAAUUAUAUUUUUGUAAAUUUCAGAUACCUGAUUAGUGACUUGAAAAUUAAAUACUUCUUAAGAAAUAAGUUAUUUAAUAACACUUUCAAAGAUUUGUUUGCAUUUGAGGAAACUUUUAAUUUAUAAAUUUAAUUAAGUAACUACUUUUUUGAAAAUGCAUUUUAUUUAAAGUUAGUUCUAAAUAUUAACUUAAGACGUUUUUGUAUUUAAUAAAAGUGAUAUAUCUUGUUUUGCUUACGUAGUAUAAGCCCCAGAAUAAUGGUAUAAUUUAAUAUAUUUGUGUAUUUAUUUAAUGAAACUAAUAUAUACUGUGUAGCUUACUUAGCAUAAGUCGUAGAAUAAUGCAUUAAUUUAAGAUAUUUUUCUUUAUUUAACAAAACUUAUAACGUGUUGCUUACUUACUAUAAGACGUAGAAUAAUGCAUUAAUUUAAGAUAUUUUUCUGUAUUUAAUAAAACUUAUAACUUGUUGCUUAUUUAGUAUAAUCCUUAGAGUAACAUAAUUUUAGAUAGACUAAGUAGCUAGUUAUAAUUAGUUUAAUAUAUUUCUGUAUUUAAUAAAAUUGACUUAACCGUGUUACUUAACUUAGCAUAAGGAGUAGAAUAAUAUAAUUUUAGAUAGAUUUUAAGUAUUAUUAAACGUACAAAUGUGUUAUUAUUAAUACGGUAACCUCUGAAAUUUCGUAAAACAUUCAUAUCAAUAAACCUACUCGUUUUUCUGUUGUAUGUUGUAUGUAUUAUAUAUUAUGCAGUUAU
RNAcentral lists this unclassified non-coding RNA (2887 nucleotides) under Agrilus planipennis (emerald ash borer). RNAcentral describes it as "actin-like protein 6B, transcript variant X3". Lineage: Eukaryota; Metazoa; Arthropoda; Insecta; Coleoptera; Buprestidae. The record is from RNAcentral.